RNAcentral lists this ribosomal RNA (420 nucleotides) under Candida albicans. Its description in RNAcentral is "eukaryotic LSU rRNA". The stretch from base 66 to 219 matches the Rfam family "5.8S ribosomal RNA". The record is from RNAcentral. Lineage: Eukaryota; Fungi; Ascomycota; Pichiomycetes; Serinales; Debaryomycetaceae.
CAGAGGUCUAAACUUACAACCAAUUUUUUAUCAACUUGUCACACCAGAUUAUUACUAAUAGUCAAAACUUUCAACAACGGAUCUCUUGGUUCUCGCAUCGAUGAAGAACGCAGCGAAAUGCGAUACGUAAUAUGAAUUGCAGAUAUUCGUGAAUCAUCGAAUCUUUGAACGCACAUUGCGCCCUCUGGUAUUCCGGAGGGCAUGCCUGUUUGAGCGUCGUUUCUCCCUCAAACCGCUGGGUUUGGUGUUGAGCAAUACGACUUGGGUUUGCUUGAAAGACGGUAGUGGUAAGGCGGGAUCGCUUUGACAAUGGCUUAGGUCUAACCAAAAACAUUGCUUGCGGCGGUAACGUCCACCACGUAUAUCUUCAAACUUUGACCUCAAAUCAGGUAGGACUACCCGCUGAACUUAAGCAUAUCA